UGCUCUGUAAUCCUUUCCAGGUCCACUGUUUUCCUGCCCCUUCUUUUGCCCAGUAUUCUGAUAUAAUUAGCUGGUACAAGUCCUGUUGUUUGACCAUCGAAACUAGCCAAAAGCCAGCCACGGAUUUUGGGUUGUUGGUCUUUGGGUGCUAAUUUUAGAAUGUCACCAGCACGGAAGGAAAUUUCCUCUUCUGAGAGAGCACUGAAGUCAUAGUCUGCUCUUCCAACUACAUGAUCA
This 237-nucleotide long non-coding RNA is filed under the name Gallus gallus (chicken). The record is from RNAcentral. Lineage: Eukaryota; Metazoa; Chordata; Aves; Galliformes; Phasianidae.